RNAcentral lists this ribosomal RNA (261 nucleotides) under uncultured prokaryote. Its description in RNAcentral is "partial 16S ribosomal RNA". It matches the Rfam family "Bacterial small subunit ribosomal RNA", at positions 524 to 784 of the family's 1533-position model. The record is from RNAcentral.
UACAUAGGGUGCGAGCGUUGUCCGGAAUUAUUGGGCGUAAAGAGCUUGUAGGCGGUUUGUCGCGUCUGCUGUGAAAAUCCGGGGCUCAACCCCGGACUUGCAGUGGGUACGGGCAGACUAGAGUGUGGUAGGGGAGACUGGAAUUCCUGGUGUAGCGGUGAAAUGCGCAGAUAUCAGGAGGAACACCGAUGGCGAAGGCAGGUCUCUGGGCCACUACUGACGCUGAGAAGCGAAAGCAUGGGGAGCGAACAGGAUUAGAUA